AGUGAACGCUGGCGGCAGGCCUAACACAUGCAAGUCGAGCGGCAGCGCGGGGGCAACCCUGGCGGCGAGCGGCGGACGGGUGAGGAAUACAUCGGAAUCUACCUUUUCGUGGGGGAUAACGUAGGGAAACUUACGCUAAUACCGCAUACGACCUACGGGUGAAAGUGGGGGACCGCAAGGCCUCACGCGAUUAGAUGAGC
Molecule: ribosomal RNA, 200 nt
Filed under: uncultured bacterium
Lineage: Bacteria
Description: partial 16S ribosomal RNA
Rfam family: Bacterial small subunit ribosomal RNA
Source: RNAcentral